This 253-nucleotide ribosomal RNA is filed under the name uncultured prokaryote. RNAcentral describes it as "partial 16S ribosomal RNA". It matches the Rfam family "Bacterial small subunit ribosomal RNA", at positions 524 to 776 of the family's 1533-position model. The record is from RNAcentral.
UACGUAGGGUGCAAGCGUUACUCGGAAUUAUUGGGCGUAAAGCGCAUGUAGGUGGUUUUGUAAGUCUGAUGUGAAAUCCCUGGACUCAAUUCAGGAACUGCAUUGGAUACUGCAAGACUAGAGUAUGGGAGAGGUAGGCGGAAUUCCUGGUGUAGAGGUGAAAUUCGUAGAUAUCAGGAGGAACAACAGAGGCGAAGGCGGCUUACUGGACCAUAACUGACACUGAGAUGCGACAGUGUGGGGAGCAAACAGG